Molecule: ribosomal RNA, 465 nt
Filed under: uncultured bacterium
Lineage: Bacteria
Description: partial 16S ribosomal RNA
Rfam family: Bacterial small subunit ribosomal RNA
Source: RNAcentral
CUACGGGUGGCUGCAGUGAGGAAUUUUGCGCAAUGGGGGAAACCCUGACGCAGCAACGCCGCGUGAGUGAUGAAGGCCCUCGGGUCGUAAAGCUCUGUCAAGUGGGAAGAAUCUAUCGAUAUUGAAUAGAUAUUGAUACUGACGGUACCACAAGAGGAAGCACCGGCUAACUCCGUGCCAGCAGCCGUGGUAAUACGGGGGGUGCAAGCGUUAUUCGGAAUCAUUGGGCGUAAAGGGCGCGCAGGCGGCCUUGUCAGUCAGAUGUGAAAGCCCGGGGCUCAACCCCGGAAGUGCAUUUGAAACUAUGAGGCUUGAGUAUGGGAGAGGGAAGUGGAAUUCCUGGUGUAGCGGUGAAAUGCGUAGAUAUCAGGAGGAACACCGGUGGCGAAGGCGACUUCCUGGACCAAUACUGACGCUGAGGCGCGAAGGCGUGGGGAGCAAACAGGAUUAGAUACCCGAGUAGUC